Molecule: unclassified non-coding RNA, 329 nt
Filed under: soil metagenome
Description: partial contains 5.8S ribosomal RNA, internal transcribed spacer 2, and large subunit ribosomal RNA
Rfam family: 5.8S ribosomal RNA (bases 1-120)
Source: RNAcentral
GAUGAAGAACGUAGCGAAAUGCGAUAAGUAGUGUGAAUUGCAGAAUUCAGAGAAUCAUCGAAUCUUUGAACGCACAUUGCGCCCCUUGGUAUCCCGAGGGGCAUGCCUGUUCGAGCGUCAUUUCACCACUCAAGCCUGGCUUGGUGUUGGGCGACGUCCCCUUUAGGGACGCGCCUCGAAACGCUCGGCGGCGCGGCACCGGCUUUAAGCGUAGCAGAAUCUUUCGCUUUGGAAGUCGGGGCCCCGCCUGCCGGAAUACCUACUUGUAAGGUUGACCUCGGAUCAGGCAGGGAUACCCGCUGAACUUAAGCAUAUCAAUAAGCGGAGGA